GAUGAACGCUGGCGGCGUGCUUAACACAUGCAAGUCGAACGGAAAGGCCCAAGCUUGCUUGGGUACUCGAGUGGCGAACGGGUGAGUAACACGUGGGUGAUCUGCCCUGCACUUCGGGAUAGGCCUGGGAAACUGGGUCUAAUACCGGAUAGGACCACAUUUUGGAUGGUGUGGUGGAAAGUUUUUCGGUGUGGGAUGGGCUCGCGGCCUAUCAGCUUGUUGGUGGGGUAAUGGCCUACCAAGGCGUCGACGGGUAGCCGGCCUGAGAGGGUGUACGGCCACAUUGGGACUGAGAUACGGCCCAGACUCCUACGGGAGGCAGCAGUGGGGAAUAUUGCACAAUGGGCGCAAGCCUGAUGCAGCGACGCCGCGUGGGGGAUGACGGCCUUCGGGUUGUAAACUCCUUUCGCUAGGGACGAAGCGUUUUUGUGACGGUACCUGGAGAAGAAGCACCGGCUAACUACGUG
This 467-nucleotide ribosomal RNA is filed under the name uncultured bacterium. RNAcentral describes it as "partial 16S ribosomal RNA". It matches the Rfam family "Bacterial small subunit ribosomal RNA", at positions 28 to 507 of the family's 1533-position model. The record is from RNAcentral.